RNAcentral lists this ribosomal RNA (1665 nucleotides) under Salmonella enterica subsp. enterica serovar Paratyphi A. RNAcentral's name for it is "16S ribosomal RNA". Lineage: Bacteria; Pseudomonadati; Pseudomonadota; Gammaproteobacteria; Enterobacterales; Enterobacteriaceae. The record is from RNAcentral.
UUUUCAUCAGACAAUCUGUGUGAGCACUGCAAAGUACGCUUCUUUAAGGUAAGGAGGUGAUCCAACCGCAGGUUCCCCUACGGUUACCUUGUUACGACUUCACCCCAGUCAUGAAUCACAAAGUGGUAAGCGCCCUCCCGAAGGUUAAGCUACCUACUUCUUUUGCAACCCACUCCCAUGGUGUGACGGGCGGUGUGUACAAGGCCCGGGAACGUAUUCACCGUGGCAUUCUGAUCCACGAUUACUAGCGAUUCCGACUUCAUGGAGUCGAGUUGCAGACUCCAAUCCGGACUACGACGCACUUUAUGAGGUCCGCUUGCUCUCGCGAGGUCGCUUCUCUUUGUAUGCGCCAUUGUAGCACGUGUGUAGCCCUGGUCGUAAGGGCCAUGAUGACUUGACGUCAUCCCCACCUUCCUCCAGUUUAUCACUGGCAGUCUCCUUUGAGUUCCCGGCCGGACCGCUGGCAACAAAGGAUAAGGGUUGCGCUCGUUGCGGGACUUAACCCAACAUUUCACAACACGAGCUGACGACAGCCAUGCAGCACCUGUCUCACGGUUCCCGAAGGCACAUUCUCAUCUCUGAAAACUUCCGUGGAUGUCAAGACCAGGUAAGGUUCUUCGCGUUGCAUCGAAUUAAACCACAUGCUCCACCGCUUGUGCGGGCCCCCGUCAAUUCAUUUGAGUUUUAACCUUGCGGCCGUACUCCCCAGGCGGUCUACUUAACGCGUUAGCUCCGGAAGCCACGCCUCAAGGGCACAACCUCCAAGUAGACAUCGUUUACGGCGUGGACUACCAGGGUAUCUAAUCCUGUUUGCUCCCCACGCUUUCGCACCUGAGCGUCAGUCUUUGUCCAGGGGGCCGCCUUCGCCACCGGUAUUCCUCCAGAUCUCUACGCAUUUCNNNNNNNNNNNNNNNNNNNNCCCCCCUCUACAAGACUCAAGCCUGCCAGUUUCGAAUGCAGUUCCCAGGUUGAGCCCGGGGAUUUCACAUCCGACUUGACAGACCGCCUGCGUGCGCUUUACGCCCAGUAAUUCCGAUUAACGCUUGCACCCUCCGUAUUACCGCGGCUGCUGGCACGGAGUUAGCCGGUGCUUCUUCUGCGGGUAACGUCAAUUGCUGCGGUUAUUAACCACAACACCUUCCUCCCCGCUGAAAGUACUUUACAACCCGAAGGCCUUCUUCAUACACGCGGCAUGGCUGCAUCAGGCUUGCGCCCAUUGUGCAAUAUUCCCCACUGCUGCCUCCCGUAGGAGUCUGGACCGUGUCUCAGUUCCAGUGUGGCUGGUCAUCCUCUCAGACCAGCUAGGGAUCGUCGCCUUGGUGAGCCGUUACCUCACCAACAAGCUAAUCCCAUCUGGGCACAUCUGAUGGCAAGAGGCCCGAAGGUCCCCCUCUUUGGUCUUGCGACGUUAUGCGGUAUUAGCCACCGUUUCCAGUAGUUAUCCCCCUCCAUCAGGCAGUUUCCCAGACAUUACUCACCCGUCCGCCACUCGUCAGCAAAGCAGCAAGCUGCUUCCUGUUACCGUUCGACUUGCAUGUGUUAGGCCUGCCGCCAGCGUUCAAUCUGAGCCAUGAUCAAACUCUUCAAUUUAAAAGUUUGAUGCUCAAUGAAUUAAACUUCGUAAUGAAUUACGUGUUCACUCUUGAGACUUGGUAUUCAUUUUUC